GACGUAGGGUGCGAGCGUUGUCCGGAUUUAUUGGGCGUAAAGAGCUCGUAGGCGGCUCGUCGCGUCGACCGUGAAAACCCGCGGCUUAACUGCGGGCUUGCGGUUGAUACGGGCGGGCUAGAGUUCGGUAGGGGAGACUGGAAUUCCUGGUGUAGCGGUGGAAUGCGCAGAUAUCAGGAGGAACACCGGUGGCGAAGGCGGGUCUCUGGGCAGUAACUGACGCUGAGGAGCGAAAGCGUGGGGAGCGAACAGG
RNAcentral lists this ribosomal RNA (253 nucleotides) under uncultured bacterium. Its description in RNAcentral is "partial 16S ribosomal RNA". It matches the Rfam family "Bacterial small subunit ribosomal RNA", at positions 524 to 776 of the family's 1533-position model. The record is from RNAcentral.